RNAcentral lists this ribosomal RNA (1358 nucleotides) under Lirabuccinum musculus. RNAcentral describes it as "16S ribosomal RNA". It matches the Rfam family "Bacterial large subunit ribosomal RNA", at positions 515 to 2767 of the family's 2925-position model. Lineage: Eukaryota; Metazoa; Mollusca; Gastropoda; Neogastropoda; Buccinidae. The record is from RNAcentral.
AAUUAACUAUUAUGGUAUAAGAAUUCAACCUUUGAUCUAAAAUUUUAAAACAUUUUUAAAUUGAGUAAAGGUGAUUAAAACUUAUUUUAUUAUAUUCUAGAAAAAGUACUGUGAAGGAAUCCAAGUAAAUUAAAAAAAAGAAAAAAUUAAAGUUUGUACCUUUUGCAUCAUGGUUUAACUAGAUAUUUAUUUUAUAUUCAAAUGUCUCGAAAUCUAAUGAGCUAUUUUUACUCAAUAUAUUAGAAAACAAGGAUUAAUUGUAGCAAAAAUUUUCCCAGAAGUAAAAAUAGAAAUGAAAUUUUAUUCGUAUUAGAUGAUAGCUAGUUCUUCUAAAAGGCAUAUAAGUGCCCUAAAUUAACUUUAUUUUUAUGACAAUUAAAUAAAAUAAACUUUAAUUUGGUUAGGUUUUUGAGGAUAAGCUCGAAAACUAUAGAUUAUAUUUGCAUAUUAUUUUAAUUAAAAUUUAGGCUUGAAAAUAGCUAUGAUUUUGAUUUUGUUACAAUUUCAUUAAGAACAUAAAAAAUAAUCAAUUUGCUUACAUAUAAAAGAAGAAAACUUUAGAACUAAAAUAAGUUGCAUCUAUGUUAAAAUGAGUAUUAAUUAAUUUAUAUAUUUUUAAUAUUAUAUACUUUAAAACUAAGGUUUCUAUAUUAAUUUAAAAUCAUAAAAAGGAACUCAGCAAAUCUACAUUCUGCCUGUUUAGCAAAAACAUGGCUCCUUGUCCAAAAUAAAUAAGGAGUCGGACCUGCCCAGUGAAUUUUUUUAACGGCCGCGGUACUCUGACCGUGCAAAGGUAGCAUAAUCAUUUGCCUUAUAAUUGAAGGCUAGUAUGAAUGGUUUGACAAGAGUGUGGCUGUCUCUUUAUGAUUAAGUAGAAUUUUAUCUUCAGGUGAAGAAGCCUGUAUUAAAUUAAAAGACAAGAAGACCCUAUCGAGCUUGAAAGAAAUUAGUGGGACAAUCAAUUAAUAAAAUUUAAAAAAUCAACCAUUAAAAAUUUUAGUUGGGGCGACCAAGGAACAAAAAAAGCUUCCUUUUACCAUUUUAGACUAUACAGGUAUUGAUCCAUGAUAUUUUGAUUAAAGGAAUUAGCUACCGUAGGGAUAACAGCAUUAUCUUUUUUAAGAGCUCUUAUCGAAAAAAAGGUUUGUGACCUCGAUGUUGGACCAGAAUAUCCCAAAGAUGCAGCAGUCUUUAAAGGUUGGUCUGUUCGACCAUUAAAAUUCUACGUGAUCUGAGUUCAGACCGGCGUGAGCCAGGUCAGUUUCUAUCUUUAAUUUCAUAUAUAAGCUUAGUACGAAAGGACCAGUUUAUUGUAAUAACUACUAAAAAAUGAUACUAUAUAAUUUACAAUUCAAUAA